RNAcentral lists this long non-coding RNA (7910 nucleotides) under Solanum tuberosum (potato). RNAcentral describes it as "long non-coding RNA (STUB_LNC007680)". Lineage: Eukaryota; Viridiplantae; Streptophyta; Magnoliopsida; Solanales; Solanaceae. The record is from RNAcentral.
UUUUUUUUUUAUUGAAUUCAAGUAACUUUAAAAAUAAUGUUGGUGGAUAUCUCUGCUUUGCGGAGUGGCAAUUGAUCUUCAACUACUCGUUGACCCUCGGUGUGGUGUACGAACAAUAGCUCAUACAUAAGUUGGCUAGAUUUUCAACAAUUUUGUCGAGUCAUCAGAGGAAUGUUAUAUGUUAUUCAGAAUGGUGGUAUCAGCUAAUUCCGGAUUAUCACAGACAAUAUCAUUCUGGGGAAUAUCAUCCGGAACUCCUGCUAGUGAAUAUCAAUAAUGCACCAUUACUAGUGAAUGUGUUUUUAAGAUAGCCUUUAACUAGCAAAGCUAGAACACGUGUUUGUGAAAUGUGCAGAUUGUUUAAUAUUGUUGGGCACAAUUGGUUGCUAAGUAAGGACAAUCUUCGAUCUUACAAUUCUUAUACUCAAAUUCUUUUGCACUUAGACUCUUGUAACUUCGUUUGAUACGUUCUUGCGAACUCACUCUUUACUUGAACACAAAUAACUCAAAUGAACCACUUACCUUUCUAGAUUUUCUGUUCUUUGCCUUGUAACUAUAUUUCUAGAAUUCACCUCCUAAUUCUCUACAAACUCUUGGAAUGUUCUAUAUGUUUUUGUUAGGGCAAAGAUAUUUAUUAUUCAAAGUCCAGAAAAAAAACAAACUAGUUUCUGUGUUUCUUAAGAAGGAAAAUAUUUUUUAAUUUUCUUAUAUUUGGUUGGCUUAAAUAUUUUUCAAAUGAACGUAAUUUAUUAAAAGUAAGAAAAAAUGUAUUUUUCAAAACUUUCUUCAACUUCACCACCCAACCUCUAUCACGACCCGAAACCUGACUAUCAACCCCGACAUGGAAUUCGAUUCCUAAUCCCGACUUUGAUUAGGGAUCCGAAUUCGAUCCAAAAUACGACUUCCAACCUUGACACAGAUUAGUAUUUGACCCAACCAAUCCCCAACUUGAGUCAAGGUUGGGUCUUGGCUUAGGGUUUGGUCUCAAGUUGGGUUAGGGUUAGGUCAGGGUAGGAUCGAGGAUUAGUUUCUAAGUUGGGACUAGGAGUGGCAAAUGAGUGAGUUGAGUUGAGUCGAAUAUGAGUCGAUCGAAAACGAGUUAAAUAAAAAUGGAUAAAGCACUCGGCUCGACUCACAUUUUAAAUGGGUAAAAACGAGUUACCCAAUGAAUAAUAUGGGUACUCAUAUUAUAGUUAAGAUCUUGUUAAAAGCUUUAAAAAUAAAAUCUUUUUUAUUUUUUUAUCACUCCACCCUCCCUACCAGCCCCCACCCCCCAUUCCAAAAAAAAUUAUAAUUUUUUUUUUACCACCCCCCAAUGCACCCCUCACAUUUUAAAAAAGAAGAAACUUUUUCUACCACCCACCCCUAAUCACUUUUCUUUCUUUUAUGAAUGAACAUUUUUUAUUCAUAUUAUCCAUUUAACUAUCCACUUUUAAAUGGGUAAAUAUGAGUAUUAUUCGUUUUUACCCAUUUUAAAAUGAGUUGGGUACUCAACCCAUUUAAAAUAGGUAAAUAUGAGUGAAUACCCAUAUAAAUUACCCAUUCUGCCACCUCUAGUUGGGAUCGAUGUUAGGGUUGGAGGUGGGGUUGAGUAUUGAGUCAAGGGCGAGGUUGUGUUUCUGGUGGAUGUUGAGGUCCGAUCGGAUCUCGAGUUUGGAAUGUGAUAAAGAGGUUCGGGUUUGUGUCAAAGAGUGGGGUCCGAAUAUGAUGUUAUAAUAUUUGUCCAGAUUACAUCUAAGUAUUUUGGGAAAAGGGUUUGAUAUACCUCUCAACUUUGUUAUUUAGAGUUGAUAUACUCCUCGUUAUAAAAGUGGCUCACACAUAUUCCUAUCUUUAUAAAAUUGGCCCGCAUAUACCCUUUUCCUCUAAGGAAGUGAAAAAAUAUGUUUUAUUAAUAAAAAAAUAAUUAAUCUUUUAUUAAAAAACAAUUCAUGUAGGGUAUAUGUGAGCCAUUUAUGUAACAAUUGUAUAAAGGCCUAAUCCAUCGGUGACCUCCUAAAGUUGGCAACAAUUUUUCACUUAGACACUUUAAAUAGACUUUGUUUGUUUUAGACACCUCAUGUCAGACCCUAUUGUGUCAUUUUGACACUUUUUUCACUAGUACAUGUUGACUCCAAGUGCGUGUUAACCAAGUGCGUCCACAUGGAUUAAAUGCCCAAUUAUAUCAUGCCAACUCAUUAAAAGUCUAUCAUAUUAAAGAGAAAAAAAUAAGAAUCAAAAUAUAAGACAAAGUAACCAAUGAAUAAAUGACAUGUGGUUUUUUUUAUCAAAAUAAAUAAAUAAAAUAGUUUGACAAAUUUAAAGAAAAAUUCCACACCCCCACAGCUUCCCAAAGUCAUCUUCUCCAUUGUAUUACUCCAUUUUUAUUAUUUUUUUAACCUUAUUUUUUCUGCCAUAAACCCACACCCACACAAUCUACUCUAUCAUAUUCCUCCAUUUUCAUUGUCUUUUCCGUCACACUCACAUCCACACAGUCAUGUUCUCUAUUUUAUUCCUCUUUUUUCAUUUUUUUUUGUCAUAUUCACUGAAUUUUGACCGUUUUCUUCACUGCACCUCCCCUCACAUUUUUUCAUUUGAUUCCGGGUUAAGAGGUGCAAAUGUAUAACAAACAAUGGUUCGUAUUUUUAAGCUCGAGUCUCCUUUUCUUUAAUUUUGAGAUAUUUGUAAUUUAAUUAGGGCUUAAGGUUAGUGAGAUUAACAUUUACAUAAUGAAAAUUGGGAUCUUUUUGGCUCCUAUUUUUGUUAACUUGAAAUUUGAGUUGUUGGCAGUUAUAUGUUGGCAAUUGAGACUGUGGAUAUAUUUAAUUUGAAGAAUUGUUUUUACUUUUUUCUUUAGGAUUAUUGUGGGUGAACUUUACAUGAUAUGGGUGUUGUUGAUAUGGGUUCGAUUUCUUGUUUCUUUUUGGAUCUACCUGAGCUUGUAGUGGGAAAUUUAAAUUGAAAUUAUAAUAACAAAAGAUUUAACCUCCGUUGAAGUACUUUAAGCUUUGAGAAAUAAUUGGAGAGAUAGUGGCUGUAAAAUGAAAAAGAAGAGAGAAAAAAUAAAAUAAAAUAGGCUAAAUAAGCCACUCACGCGUCAAUAGCGAGUGUAUAACACUCACUUUGUCAUGUCAGUGGAAAGGGUCAAAUGACACAACAGGGCUUGACACGAGGUGUCUAAAAUGAAUAAAACCUAGUUAAAGUAUUUAAGUGAAAAUUGCUGCCAACUUUAGGGGACCACCGAUGAGUUAGACCUUGUAUAAAUAAGCCACUCUAAAUGAUAAAGUUAAAAGAUAUAUAGACCAUUUUCCCAAAUAUUUUUGGGAUAAUAUUUUUCUAAGAAAAAAAAAUCACUUUCCCUUAGAAUACAACCCUAAUUUAAGAGGGCGAAAAUCGAGGAAAGGCUCAAAACAGUCCCUCAUCUUUGGAUUAAGGCUCAAAGUCAUCCUUGAGUUUUCACAUGGAGCACUAAUAGUCCCUCAUAUUUGCAAUAUUGGUGCACUUUUAGUCCUCCCCUAAAUUUUUGCCUAUUUUUUAACAUUAAUUUUGUUCACAAUUUUAUGUAAGGAAUGUCCAAUCGUCUUUUUAUAUAUUUAGUAGAAAUAAUAACUCUAUGUGAGAGAAGGUGAUAAAAAGAACACCUUGUUCUGUUCAGUAUAAAUAUUACUGCAGUUAAACUAACAACAUCUUAACAUAUGACGUUGGAAGAAAAGAAAAAAAUUGUACUAUUGCACGUAAAAUGAUCGUGAUGAACCUCUCGACUUUACCUGCAAUACGAUUUCUACUAAACAAAACAAGAUGCUUUUCUUCUCACAUUCUCUCAUAUGGAGUUAUUAUUUCUACUAAAUAUAUAAAAAGACGAUUGGACAUUCCUUACAUAAAAUUGUGAACAAAAUUAAUGUUAAAAAAUAGGCAAAAAUUUAGGGGAGGACCAAAAGUGCACCAAUAUUGCAAACAUGAAGGACUAUUACUGUUCUAUGUGAAAACUCAAGGAUGACUUUGAACCUUAACCCAGAGAUGGGAGACUAUUUUGAGCCUUUCCUCGCGAAAAUCACUUGUAUUGUGCCUCGUGAGAUACACGAGCUUAUCUUUUCUGUUUGUAACAAUGACUUGAAAUUCAUUGUGAUGAAAGAUUGCGUUGACUUGGGUCCGAAAAGGCGGUGACAAAGCUGAAAAUCUAUUACUCCCUCCGUUUCACAAAGAAUGACCUCCUUUCCUUUUUAGUCAGUUUAAAAAAGAAUGACCUCUUUCCUUUUUUGGUAACAUUUUACUUUUUGCUUUCCACGUGACAUGUUUAAGACCACAAGAUUAAGGGCAAUUUUGUACAUUUGACAUAACUUUAAUUUAGGACCACAAGAUUCAAAAGUCUUCUUUAUUUACUUAAACUCCGUGCCAAGUCAAACCAAGUCAUUCUUUGUGAAACGAAGGGAGUAUCAUUUUUGUCAUUUUCUUAUUAGCUUUCGCACACUUCAUCUAAUCUCACAGGGUAUGGUCAACCUCUCACUAGCAGCAGCUACUAGAUAACUAUGUCCAUCAAAUAAAAAAUAAUUACGUAGCAUCUUUUAAUCCCUAUUAAGUUCUCAAUUACUAUGGUCAAGCCACAACUGUUCUCUUACAUGUAACUGUUCGUAUUGAUUGUCUUUUUUGAAUCACUACUUUCUGUUUGUGGGUUUCUAUCUCUUUUCUAUAUUUUGGCUUUGUAGGUUUGAAUAGAAUUGCAGUUACAUUUCUACCUCCUUCUUCCUCAAGUCCAUAUCUGCGAAUUCAUAGUCACCAGCAUGGAGAACGACACUACUACAACAAGGAAAAUAUGAAACUUUAAGGAAAUUGAGAAAUUGGUGAGUGCAUCGAAUCUCACCGUAAGAAGUGUGCUUGACAAGUUGACGUCUUGCCUUGACACUGCUGAUACCCGAUCCGUUAUCCCUCUCGGCCAUGGCGAUCCUUCUGUUUUCCCCUGUUUCCGUACUACACCAAUCGCCGAAGAUGCUAUCACUGAUGCCAUUCGCUCUGCUAAAUUUAACUGUUAUUCGCCCACUGUCGGCAUCCUUCCUGCUAGAAGAUAGCAUCUUACUCAAAAUUUUACUGUUAAUUGGUUUUGUAAAGAUUCUGAAAUUUGUGAUUAAUUUUUUACAUCACUUGGUUUAGGUAUCUCUGCCACUGAUUGCGUAUUAGUGUUUCUCAUUUGGAAGUGUUUGAUUAAAUGUGUACCUCACUGUAAUCUGUUUAAUUGUGAGGAGGUGGAUUCAGAAUUUUGAGUUUAUGGGUUUUGGAUUCUAGAAAAUAUAGCUUACUCAGUUCGGAAAUAAGUUAUUUAUACAUAUUGGAUAUAUAGGGUAGGGCCCAAAGUUACUGAUUCUGCCAAAUUCGUAACCAAGGCUCUAGCUCCGCAGCUUUAUUUAGUCUAAAGUGCAUUUUUCAUGAUCGUCAAAUUCAUUUAAUUCUGUUCUCUGAAAAGGGCGGUAGCAGAAUACCUUUCUCAAGAUCUCCCAUACAAGUUGUCCCCUGAUGAUAUUUACUUGACAAGUGGAUGUCUUCAAGCAAUUGAAGUACUUUUGAGUGCUCUUGCGCGUCCAAACGCAAAUAUUCUACUUCCAACUCCUGAAUUCCCUUUUUAUGAAGCUAGGGCUGCAUUUACCCAUAUUGAAAUGCGCCACUUUAACCUUCUCCCGGAGAAGGAGUGGGAGGUGGAUCUUAAUGAGGUUGAGUUUUUGGCCGAUGAAAAUACCGUGGCUAUGGUCAUUAUUAAUCCUGGUAAUCCUGGUGGCAAUGUCUACACAGACCAACACUUGAAGAAGGUAUGUGUGUAUACUUCCUUUUUUGUUGUAGUAUAUUGAUAUCCAAAGUCAUUAUUAUGAAUAUAAAGAGGUGUUUUAAUUCCUAUCAGGUGGCAGAGACAGCAAGAAAACUUGGAAUUUUAGUUAUUUCUGAUGAAGUUUAUGCUCAUCUCACUUUUGGAAGUAAACCAUUUGUGCCUAUGGGAGUCUUUGGAUCGAUUACCCCUGUUAUUACUCUCGGAUCCAUAUCAAAGAAGUGGGUCGUCCCUGGUUGGCGACUUGGUUGGCUUGUCACAAAUGAUCCAAAUGGCAUACUAAAAGAACAUGGGGUACUUUCCUUUUAACGAUGGCCAUUCUCUACUGCUUCCACAUAUAUUAUAGGGGACUAUAUAAGUAUAAUAUGAUAUCUUAGAUUGAGGUUGACUAGCUUUCUUAAGAAAAGAAGACAGAUUAUUUUACAAACAAACAAUGUCUACCCGUCGUCACUUUGUAUAUUGUUAUUUGUAGGUCAUAGAUUCCAUCAUUGGAUAUCUCAAUAUAUCUUCUGACCCUGCAACUUUUAUUCAGGUUUGUUCUUUAUAGUUCUUUCUUCUGCUUGCUUUCUCUUGGAAAUGUAACAUUUGUUAUUCCAUUUUGCCAUACAUUUGGUAGAGUUGCUAAAGGAUUGAAAGUUGUUUUGGUCUAACAGCUCUUUGAGAAUUUAGUAGUAUAGGUGUAAAUUUCCUCGCCGCUUACUGAGGCAUCUGGUUUCUUUUUGUUCUUACUUUGACAGGGGGCAAUUCCUCAGAUCCUUGAGAAAACAAAAGAUGAUUUCUUCUCUAAAAUAGUAGAUAUGCUAAGAGCAGAUGCAGAUAUCUGUUAUGACAAAAUCAAGGAUAUUCCUUGCAUCACUUGCCCAAGUAAACCUCAAAGAUCUAUGUUUGUGAUGGUAUGAGAAAAAUGGAAGCUUAAUUAGGCAUUAGCUUGGGAUUAGAAGAUGUGAUCAAUAGUCUAAUAUAGGUCUUUUCCCCCAUGUAGGUUCAACUUAACUUGAAUCUUCUAGAAGACAUCGAAGAUGACUUGGACUUUUGCGCCAAGCUGGCUAAGGAAGAAUCUUUGAUAAUUUUACCAGGUAAAAGACAACAAAUCUCUUACAAAGCCAAUCAAACUUUGUCGACAACAGUAGGUCUCUUUCUUGGAGGACUAUCUUUUCAAAUUCCUUUAUUUUUUCGAUGUUUUGGAAUGUUUUUCAUAUGUGUUUAGUCGUUAGAGCUUUCGUAUUCACAGGUCAUAAUGUUAUUUGAUUGUUUUUAUUACGCCAAACAAGCCUUUGAUUGCAUCCAAUGUAGGACAAAUAGAAAUCAUCCAUAUAUAUAAGAUCUGCCAUGUAAGUGAUCAUUUUUUGGUGAUAUAUACAUGUCUGAUUAUCAAUGCAAUUGAUACAAAAGUAGAAAUUCAUCAAAUUUUAUCCGAUUCCAUAGAUGUAACCAUGUUAUAUGAAUGUAAAAUUUGUGUACUUCUCGUGUUGGUGUAUUAAUUCGCUGCAUGAAAGUAGACUCACUCAAAAGAGCUAGUAUAUGAAUAUGAAGUUUGUGUGUUCUGCAUGCACAAAAACUGGUGUGAUGCUAUGCUAUGUAUAACUCCUGAUGCAGGUGUUGUUGUGGGACUCAAGAAUUGGCUCAGAAUAACCUUUGCAUGUGAGCCAUCAUAUCUGGAAGAUGGCUUCCAGAGACUAAAUGCUUUCUAUAAAAGGCAUGCCAAGAAACAAUAAGCUGCUGCUGUUUAAGAAGCAACCUUGAUAUUUGUUACCGUCCUCUGAUUAAGGAUCCAGUUAUGGGACGCUGCAAGAUAAAAUCAUAUGUUUUCUUCCUUCAACCUAUGGUGUUGGUUCAAGGACCUGCAAUCUCUCGAGCUCAAGUACUUUAUAAUUUGAAUAAUUUUCUGCUCAUCCAUCUUUCCAUUGAAUUCAAAUGACUCUGCAUUACGGAGUUGCAAUUGAUUUUCAACUACUCGUUGAACCUCGGUGUGGUGUGCGUACAAUAGCUCAUACAUAAGUUGGCUAGAUUUUCAACAAUUUCCUUUAAGGAAUGUAAUAUGUUAUUUUGACUGGUAUAGUGCACCAUUACUAGCACAUGAAUGAUAUUAUUAUCGAAAAUAAAAACAGCUAUUCGUAUCUAA